This is a long non-coding RNA of Dermochelys coriacea (leatherback sea turtle), 1498 nucleotides long. RefSeq lists it as uncharacterized. The record is from RefSeq and is a predicted model, not a curated record. The transcript has 3 exons. Lineage: Eukaryota; Metazoa; Chordata; Testudines; Dermochelyidae.
CUGUAUUUCUACCGUGUUGGGGUGUGCAGUGUAUGUACUCUACAUGCUGCCAAAAGGAGUGUGCAGUGUAGACAUACAUUUAGUUAUAUACUGAAACCAAAGAUUUUUAAGAGCUACAAACAUAGCAUAACAGACUCUUCUAUGUGUGCAAUGGAGACUGAACAGAAAAAGUUUUUGCAAAGCUUCAUGGUCACAAGAGCACAGCCAGAUUUUGGUAAAUCUCUGGUGCAAGGCCAACUAAACAGUGGACUUUAGCAAGAGUACCAGGAAUGAUGAUACAUACCAGAAAAUAGCAAAGAAGUUGGCUGCACUGCAAAUACACCAGACCAGUGCAGGGAGCAGAUUAAACAUGUCAAGACUGAGUACAGGAAAACUAGGAACCAGAACCACACCUCUGGCAAUGUGCCAACAUCAUGCCCAUUUUAUGAGGAAUUUCAUUCGGCACUGUGCCAAGCACAGAGCCAACAGUGGUGCAUGAUGACCUCAUCACCCAGGAUGGUGCCCUGCUGGCCCCAGAAUCCAGCAUAGGGACUGGGAGCCAGCAGCAGGUGCAGAGUGAGGACAAUUAAGUGUCUUUUUUUGCUGAAACUGGUCCCAGAGGAGGUUUUGCCAAAGGAGCAGCAUGUCCUGGAGCUGUACUCAGAGGAGCUUUUCUGAUAUCCCCCUGAGGAAUAGCCCACCAUGGCACCUGCAGCAGACACACACAAAACAGAAGCUGCCCCAGAGUCUUGUCCCUCAACUUCUGAAGCCUGCAGUACUCCCACAGCUCACCCACAUUGCAGCAGAAGCAUGGGUCAAUGUAUCUUUGUGGACUGUUCCAAAAGGAAGCAUUUCCGUAAUGAACUUGUGUUGAAGUUCUGGACAGAAUCAACAAGCAGGUCCCGUACCAAAUGCAGAGGGACUUACAGCUAGAGGAAAGGCUCAGGCUGGCUGCACAGCUUGAGGACAGGGUUUCAGCACGAGAGUGGGCCCUUGAUUCACAGUUCCUGAAACAGCAAUAGUGGCUAAGGGAGGAGGAUAGAGCUCAGCAGGAAGAACUGUUUGAAUGGCUGAUAUCGCUAACGGCCAGAGUACCAGUUCCUGCUGUACCACCCACACCAUGGCCCGAGUCCCCUGUGCAGUACCCUGGGAUUCAGUCCAGAAAUAGCUUGGAAAACUCCGUGGCUGGGUGGCCCAUGCACUUGGGCCCCAGGAGAGGCUGGGCAGGGCAACUUUGGCCCAUGCAGCCCUCCAGAUUGACUCCUUCCCCAUGGAUGCCACCAUAUCCCUCCACCUGCACCCAGGGUGUGGCAAAGUGUAAAGAAGAACAGGAGAAAGUGCACUUUUUUUUCUUUUAUGGUUAUGUUGUUACUGGUGUGGCCUGCCUGGCAAUGGGUUAAUCUUGUACUUCUCUAAUACACGUUUAUAAAUAAAGCUUUUUAUUUUAUCAAGUUUAUUGGUAUCACUGCAUCACAUCAUACAAUGUGCAUUUAAAAUAAUAAAGGUAAACACAUGAUCU